UGGGGAAUAUUGCACAAUGGGCGCAAGCCUGAUGCAGCCAUGCCGCGUAGUAUGAAGAAGGCCUUCGGGUUGUAAAGUACUUUCAGCGAGGAGGAAGGCGUUGUGGUUAAUAACCGUCAACGAUUGACGUUACUCGCAGAAGAAGCACCGGCUAACGUCCGUGCCAGCAGCCGCGGUAAUAACGGAGGGUGCAAGCGUUAAUCGGAAUUACUGGGCGUAAAGCGCACGCAGGCGGUCUGUCAAGUCGGAUGUGAAAUCCCCGGGCUCAACCUGGGAACUGCAUCCGAAACUGGCAGGCUAGAGUCUUGUAGAGGGGGUAGGAAUUCAGGA
This 330-nucleotide ribosomal RNA is filed under the name uncultured Enterobacteriaceae bacterium. Its description in RNAcentral is "bacterial SSU rRNA". It matches the Rfam family "Bacterial small subunit ribosomal RNA", at positions 355 to 673 of the family's 1533-position model. The record is from RNAcentral. Lineage: Bacteria; Pseudomonadati; Pseudomonadota; Gammaproteobacteria; Enterobacterales; Enterobacteriaceae.